GGGGUGCUCUGUUAGGGUGAAAGCCCGAGAGAGCCGCAGUGAAUAGGCCCAGGCGACUGUUUAGCAAAAACACAGGUCUCUGCGAAGCCGUAAGGCGAAGUAUAGGGGCUGACGCCUGCCCGGUGCUGGAAGGUUAAGAGGAGCGCUUAGCGUAAGCGAAGGUGCGAAUUGAAGCCCCAGUAAACGGCGGCCGUAACUAUAACGGUCCUAAGGUAGCGAAAUUCCUUGUCGGGUAAGUUCCGACCCGCACGAAAGGCGCAACGAUCUGGGCACUGUCUCAACGAGAGACUCGGUGAAAUUAUAGUACCUGUGAAGAUGCAGGUUACCCGCGACAGGACGGAAAGACCCCGUGGAGCUUUACUGCAGCCUGAUAUUGAAUGUUGGUACAGCUUGUACAGGAUAGGUAGGAGCCUUGGAAACCGGAGCGCCAGCUUCGGUGGAGGCAUCGGUGGGAUACUACCCUGGCUGUAUUGACCUUCUAACCCG
Molecule: ribosomal RNA, 486 nt
Filed under: Bacillus subtilis
Lineage: Bacteria; Bacillati; Bacillota; Bacilli; Caryophanales; Bacillaceae
Description: bacterial LSU rRNA
Rfam family: Bacterial large subunit ribosomal RNA
Source: RNAcentral